RNAcentral lists this ribosomal RNA (201 nucleotides) under uncultured bacterium. RNAcentral describes it as "partial 16S ribosomal RNA". It matches the Rfam family "Bacterial small subunit ribosomal RNA", at positions 526 to 723 of the family's 1533-position model. The record is from RNAcentral.
UACGGGGGGCAAGCGGUUGUUCGGAAUUACUGGGCGUAAAGGGCUCGUAGGCGGCCAACUAAGUCGGACGUGAAAUCCCUCGGCUUAACCGGGGAACUGCGUCCGAUACUGGAUGGCUAGAGUUCGGGGAGAGGGAUGCGGAAUUCCAGGUGUAGCGGUGAAAUGCGUAGAUAAUCUGGAGGAACACCGGUGGCGAAGGCG